This 497-nucleotide ribosomal RNA is filed under the name uncultured bacterium. RNAcentral describes it as "partial 16S ribosomal RNA". It matches the Rfam family "Bacterial small subunit ribosomal RNA", at positions 28 to 507 of the family's 1533-position model. The record is from RNAcentral.
GAUGAACGCUGGCGGCGUGCCUAAUACAUGCAAGUCGAGCGAACAGACGAGGAGCUUGCUCCUCUGACGUUAGCGGCGGACGGGUGAGUAACACGUGGAUAACCCACCUAUAAGACUGGGAUAACUUCGGGAAGCCGGAGCUAAUACCGGAUAAUAUAUUGAACCGCAUGGUUCAAUAGUGAAAGACGGUUUUGCUGUCACUUAUAGAUGGAUCCGCGCCGCAUUAGCUAGUUGGUAAGGUAACGGCUUACCAAGGCGACGAUGCGUAGCCGACCUGAGAGGGUGAUCGGCCACACUGGAACUGAGACACGGUCCAGACUCCUACGGGAGGCAGCAGUAGGGAAUCUUCCGCAAUGGGCGAAAGCCUGACGGAGCAACGCCGCGUGAGUGAUGAAGGUCUUCGGAUCGUAAAACUCUGUUAUUAGGGAAGAACAAAUGUGUAAGUAACUAUGCACGUCUUGACGGUACCUAAUCAGAAAGCCACGGCUAACUACGUG